GACGAACGCUGGCGGCGUGCCUAAUACAUGCAAGUCGAACGAGAGCGACCGGUGCUUGCACUGGUCAAUCUAGUGGCGAACGGAUGAGUAACACGUGGGUAACCUGCCCAUCAGAGGGGGAUAACAUUCGGAAACGGAUGCUAAAACCGCAUAGGUCUUCGAACCGCAUGGUUUGAAGAGGAAAAGAGGCGCAAGCUUCUGCUGAUGGAUGGACCCGCGGUGCAUUAGCUAGUUGGUGAGGUAACGGCUCACCAAGGCCGUGAUGCAUAGCCGACCUGAGAGGGUGAUCGGCCACAUUGGGACUGAGACACGGCCCAAACUCCUACGGGAGGCAGCAGUAGGGAAUCUUCCGCAAUGGACGCAAGUCUGACGGAGCAACGCCGCGUGAGUGAAGAAGGUUUUCGGAUCGUAAAACUCUGUUGUUAGAGAAGAAUAAGUGCUAGAGUAACUGUUAGCGCCUUGACGGUAUCUAACCAGAAAGCCACGGCUAACUACGU
RNAcentral lists this ribosomal RNA (497 nucleotides) under uncultured bacterium. RNAcentral's name for it is "partial 16S ribosomal RNA". It matches the Rfam family "Bacterial small subunit ribosomal RNA", at positions 28 to 506 of the family's 1533-position model. The record is from RNAcentral.